GAUGGCCAUUCAAGAACCAUAAUUGGCAUCCAGGUUCAGCACCAGAUAAAUGGCACGCAGCACUACAAUUUAUUAAUCAUGGACCCUGCCAGUAAAACAAGAGCUUUGGAAAAAUCACUUAAAGACAAGGUUGGAUGGCAAAAGCUAAUUAAAAGAGGUGUCCAUACACUAAAGAAAGACCAAUAUCAGUUGUGUUUUAUCGAACCUGGAAUUGCAAGUGACGAGGAGCUGGAGAAGCUAAAGACCUUACACAGCAUUCGUCUUGAAUUUUGAUCGCAAAUCUUGAUUUGGUCUUUCAGUUCUACACUUGAUUAAUCUGGAAAUUUAACGGCUGGUACAUGUGAAACUCACAGUUAAACUUAUAUGGUAAUAUGAAUCUGUUGAGCACAAGAUGAUUCAUUAUGAGUUUCGUUUGAUUUCUAUAAAUGCUGGUAUGUCAUUUGUGUUUA
Olea europaea var. sylvestris is the source of this 449-nucleotide long non-coding RNA. RefSeq lists it as uncharacterized. NCBI's taxonomy places the organism in Eukaryota, Viridiplantae, Streptophyta, Magnoliopsida, Lamiales, Oleaceae. The transcript has 3 exons. The record is from RefSeq and is a predicted model, not a curated record.